UUAAGUUCAGCGGGUAGUCUUACUUGAUUUGAGAUCGAGUUUUACAAAAAUCGUUUUACCGACCCUUGUGAAAUCCUGCAUCAGUCAGCCAAAAUGGUCAAACUCCCUUUAUGUUAGCUGCAGCAAAAGUAAUAAUCCGUUUGACGGGACUAAAUAGAUAUGCUUUUAGCUCAGGAGAAUGUCCAGCUGCACCUGCAUUU
Molecule: unclassified non-coding RNA, 200 nt
Filed under: Mortierella sp.
Lineage: Eukaryota; Fungi; Mortierellomycota; Mortierellomycetes; Mortierellales; Mortierellaceae
Description: partial internal transcribed spacer 2
Source: RNAcentral